GACGAACGCUGGCGGCGUGCUUAACACAUGCAAGUCGAACGGACUGCAUARCUUGUUGUGUGGUUAGUGGCGAACGGGUGAGUAACACGUGAGUAACCUGCCCCCUUCUUUGGGAUAAGCACCUGAAAGGGUGUCUAAUACUGAUUAUUCUGCAUUCCGCGCAUGUGGUUUGUUGGAAAGGUUUUUCUGGUGGGGGAUGGGCUCGCGGCUUAUCAGCUUGUUGGUGGGGUAAUGGCUUACCAAGGCUUUGACGGGUAACCGGCCUGAGAGGGUGACCGGUCACAUUGGGACUGAGAUACGGCCCAGACUCCUACGGGAGGCAGCAGUGGGGAAUAUUGCACAAUGGGCGAAAGCCUGAUGCAGCGACGCCGCGUGAGGGAUGAAGGCCUUCGGGUUGUAAACCUUUUUCGCUUUUGAUCAAGGCGCGUCUUUGGGGCGUGUUGAGAGUAUGAGGUAAAGAAGCACCGGCUAACUACGUGCCAGCAGCCGCGGUAAUACGUAGGGUGCGAGCGUUGUCCGGAAUUAUUGGGCGUAAAGGGCUUGUAGGUGGCUUGUCGCGUCUGUCGUGAAAUGUGCUGGCUUAACUGGUGCAGUGCGGUGGGUACGGGCAGGCUUGAGUGUGGUAGGGGAGAUUGGAAUUCCUGGUGUAGCGGUGGAAUGCACAGAUAUCAGGAAGAACACCGGUGGCGAAGGCGGAUCUCUGGGCCAUUACUGACGCUGAGGAGCGAAAGCGUGGGGAGCGAACAGGAUUAGAUACCCUGGUAGUCCACGCUGUAAACGUUGGGCACUAGGUGUGGGGAUCGUCGUGGUUUCUGCGCCGUAGCUAACGCAUAAGUGCCCCGCCUGGAGAG
This 851-nucleotide ribosomal RNA is filed under the name uncultured Actinomycetaceae bacterium. Its description in RNAcentral is "bacterial SSU rRNA". The record is from RNAcentral. Lineage: Bacteria; Bacillati; Actinomycetota; Actinomycetes; Actinomycetales; Actinomycetaceae.